RNAcentral lists this non-coding RNA (24 nucleotides) under Arabidopsis thaliana (thale cress). Lineage: Eukaryota; Viridiplantae; Streptophyta; Magnoliopsida; Brassicales; Brassicaceae. The record is from RNAcentral.
CUAAAAUAAUUGGGAACGUAGGCC